Molecule: ribosomal RNA, 422 nt
Filed under: uncultured bacterium
Lineage: Bacteria
Description: bacterial SSU rRNA
Rfam family: Bacterial small subunit ribosomal RNA
Source: RNAcentral
UAAGGAAUAUUGGUCAAUGGACGCAAGUCUGAACCAGCCAUGCCGCGUGGAGGAUGAAGGUCCUCUGGAUUGUAAACUUCUUUUAUCUGGGACGAAACACUUCUUUUCUAAGAGGCCUGACGGUACCAGAUGAAUAAGCACCGGCUAACUCCGUGCCAGCAGCCGCGGUAAUACGGAGGGUGCAAGCGUUAUCCGGAUUCACUGGGUUUAAAGGGUGCGUAGGUGGGUAUGUAAGUCAGUGGUGAAAUCCCCGAGCUUAACUUGGGAACUGCCAUUGAUACUAUAUAUCUUGAAUACCGUAGAGGUAAGCGGAAUAUGUCAUGUAGCGGUGAAAUGCUUAGAUAUGACAUGGAACACCCAUUGCGAAGGCAGCUUACUAUGCGGUGAUUGACACUGAGGCACGAAAGCGUGGGUAGCAAACA